This 68-nucleotide transfer RNA is filed under the name Hertwigia falcifera. Its description in RNAcentral is "tRNA-Asn". It matches the Rfam family "tRNA". Rfam says of the family: Transfer RNA (tRNA) molecules are approximately 80 nucleotides in length. Their secondary structure includes four short double-helical elements and three loops (D, anti-codon, and T loops). Lineage: Eukaryota; Metazoa; Porifera; Hexactinellida; Lyssacinosida; Euplectellidae. The record is from RNAcentral.
UCUAUAGUAGCUUAAACAAAGCAUUCAACUGUUAAUUUAAAGAUACUUAAUAACACAAGUCUACAGAG